GUGGGGAAUAUUGGACAAUGGGGGGAACCCUGAUCCAGCCAUGUCGCGUGUGUGAAGAAGGCCUUUUGGUUGUAAAGCACUUUAAGCGAGGAGGAGGCUACCGAGAUUAAUACUCUUGGAUAGUGGACGUUACUCGCAGAAUAAGCACCGGCUAACUCUGUGCCAGCAGCCGCGGUAAUACAGAGGGUGCAAGCGUUAAUCGGAUUUACUGGGCGUAUAGCGCGCGUAGGUGGCCAAUUAAGUCAAAUGUGAAAUCCCCGAGCUUAACUUGGGAAUUGCAUGCGAUACUGGUUGGCUAGAGUAUGGGAGAGGAUGGUAGAAUUCCAGGUGUAGCGGUGAAAUGCGUAGAGAUCUGGAGGAAUACCGAUGGCGAAGGCAGCCAUCUGGCCUAAUACUGACACUGAGGUGCGAAAGCAUGGGGAGCAAACAGGAUUAGAUACCCUUGUAGUCC
Molecule: ribosomal RNA, 451 nt
Filed under: uncultured bacterium
Lineage: Bacteria
Description: partial 16S ribosomal RNA
Rfam family: Bacterial small subunit ribosomal RNA
Source: RNAcentral